GACGAACGCUGGCGGCGUGCUUAACACAUGCAAGUCGAACGGAAAGGCCUUUUCGGAGGUACUCGAGUGGCGAACGGGUGAGUAACACGUGGGUGAUCUGCCCUGCACUCUGGGAUAAGCCUGGGAAACUGGGUCUAAUACCGGAUAGGACCGCACUUUAGUGUGUGUGGUGGAAAGUUUUUUCGGUGUAGGAUGAGCCCGCGGCCUAUCAGCUUGUUGGUGGGGUAAUGGCCUACCAAGGCGGCGACGGGUAGCCGGACUGAGAGGUUGGUCGGCCACAUUGGGACUGAGAUACGGCACAGACUCCUACGGGAGGCAGCAGUGGGGAAGAUUGCACAAUGGGCGCAAGCCUGAUGCAGCGACGCCGCGUGGGGGAUGACGGCCUUCGGGUUGUAAACUACUUUCGCCAGGGACGAAGCGUUUUGUGACGGUACCUGGAGAAGAAGCACCGGCUAACUACGUG
Molecule: ribosomal RNA, 463 nt
Filed under: uncultured bacterium
Lineage: Bacteria
Description: partial 16S ribosomal RNA
Rfam family: Bacterial small subunit ribosomal RNA
Source: RNAcentral